Long non-coding RNA from Dermacentor albipictus, 238 nucleotides. RefSeq lists it as uncharacterized. The record is from RefSeq and is a predicted model, not a curated record. Lineage: Eukaryota; Metazoa; Arthropoda; Arachnida; Ixodida; Ixodidae.
UGAGCAUCAAUUGAUGAUCACCGCUCGUAUACACGCUUCCUACGGCGCUAGCUGUCGUGUUUACCAGAACAAGUGCCCUCAUCUUGAAUUGGACGUUUGCUACCUCGUGUGUAUUGUGAUCAUACGUACAACAAGCCACAGUCUACACUAGGGAAGCCGAGAUGAGGCAAGACCACUGCCUAGAAUAGAACACCAUGCUCCUUCAAAUCAAGGCUCGAGACUUCUACUGCGGCAGAUA